This is a small nucleolar RNA of Ochotona princeps (American pika), 131 nucleotides long. NCBI's taxonomy places the organism in Eukaryota, Metazoa, Chordata, Mammalia, Lagomorpha, Ochotonidae. The record is from Ensembl.
GUGCUCGCUGGGGCUUGGUCCUCUCCUUGUGGUCCCUGCCAGUCUUUUGGCCUUUCGUGAGCAAGAGAAGCAGGACUGGCUUGGGACUGUCCUGUUCGAGUGGAUGCAUGUCACCACAAACAGGUGCCUCA